GUCGAACGAACCCUUCGGGGUGAGUGGCGCACGGGUGCGUAACGCGUGGGAACCUGCCUUUAGGUUCGGAAUAACAGUUAGAAAUGACUGCUAAUACCGGAUAAUGUCUUCGGACCAAAGAUUUAUCGCCUUUAGAUGGGCCCGCGUUAGAUUAGAUAGUUGGUGGGGUAAUGGCCUACCAAGUCGACGAUCUAUAGCUGGUCUGAGAGGAUGAUCAGCCACACUGGGACUGAGACACGGCCCAGACUCCUACGGGAGGCAGCAGUGGGGAAUAUUGGACAAUGGGCGAAAGCCUGAUCCAGCAAUGCCGCGUGAGUGAUGAAGGCCUUAGGGUUGUAAAGCUCUUUUACCAGGGAUGAUAAUGACAGUACCUGGAGAAUAAGCUCCGGCUAACUCCGUGCCAGCAGCCGCGGUAAUACGGAGGGAGCUAGCGUUGUUCGGAAUUACUGGGCGUAAAGCGCACGUAGGCGGCUUUUCAAGUCAGGGGUGAAAUCCCGGGGCUCAACCCCGGAACUGCCCUUGAAACUGGAUGGCUAGAAUACUGGAGAGGUGAGUGGAAUUCCGAGUGUAGAGGUGAAAUUCGUAGAUAUUCGGAAGAAC
Molecule: ribosomal RNA, 600 nt
Filed under: Erythrobacter sp. CS4010113
Lineage: Bacteria; Pseudomonadati; Pseudomonadota; Alphaproteobacteria; Sphingomonadales; Erythrobacteraceae
Also listed under: 1 other name
Description: bacterial SSU rRNA
Rfam family: Bacterial small subunit ribosomal RNA
Source: RNAcentral